Molecule: ribosomal RNA, 415 nt
Filed under: uncultured bacterium
Lineage: Bacteria
Description: bacterial SSU rRNA
Rfam family: Bacterial small subunit ribosomal RNA
Source: RNAcentral
AGCCAGCAGCCGCGGUAAAACGUAGGUGGCAAGCGUUAUCCGGAUUCACUGGGCGUAAAGCGCGUGCAGGUGGCUUCGUAAGUUGGACGUUAAAUCUCCCGGCCUAACCGGGAGGAGUCGUUCAAUACUGCGGGGCUAGAGGGCAGAAGAGGGGGGUGGAAUUGCUGGUGUAGUGGUGAAAUGCGUAGAUAUCAGCAGGAACACCUGUGGCGAAAGCGGCCCCCUGGUCUGCUCCUGACACUCAGACGCGAAAGCUAGGGGAGUGAACGGGAUUAGAAACCCCGGUAAUCCUAGCCGUAAACGAUGGAUGCUAGGUGUGGGUGGUAUUGACCCCAUCCGUGCCGAAGCCAACGCGUUAAGCAUCCCGCCUGGGGACUACGACCGCAAGGUUAAAACUCAAAGGAAUUGGCGGGGG